UACGAAGGGAGCUAGCGUUGUUCGGAAUUACUGGGCGUAAAGGGCGCGUAGGCGGCUUUGUAAGUCAGAUGUGAAAGCCCCGGGCUUAACCUGGGAACUGCAUUUGAUACUGCGAGGCUAGAGGAUGAGAGAGGAAAGUGGAAUUACGAGUGUAGGGGUGAAAUUCGUAGAUAUUCGUAAGAACACCAGUGGCGAAGGCGGCUUUCUGGCUCAUUACUGACGCUAAGGCGCGAAAGCGUGGGGAGCAAACAGG
This 253-nucleotide ribosomal RNA is filed under the name uncultured bacterium. RNAcentral's name for it is "partial 16S ribosomal RNA". It matches the Rfam family "Bacterial small subunit ribosomal RNA", at positions 524 to 776 of the family's 1533-position model. The record is from RNAcentral.